This 235-nucleotide ribosomal RNA is filed under the name uncultured bacterium. Its description in RNAcentral is "partial 16S ribosomal RNA". It matches the Rfam family "Bacterial small subunit ribosomal RNA", at positions 15 to 240 of the family's 1533-position model. The record is from RNAcentral.
GAUCCUGGCUCAGGAUGAACGCUAGCGACAGGCUUAACACAUGCAAGUCGAGGGGCAUCAUGGUAAGUAGCAAUACUUAUUGAUGGCGACCGGCGCACGGGUGGGUAACGCGUAUGCAACUUACCUAUCAGAGGGGGAUAGCCCGGCGAAAGUCGGAUUAAUACUCCAUAAAACAGGGGUUCCGCAUGGGACUAUUUGUUAAAGAUUCAUCGCUGAUAGAUAGGCAUGCGUUCCA